Molecule: ribosomal RNA, 138 nt
Filed under: uncultured soil bacterium
Lineage: Bacteria
Description: partial 16S ribosomal RNA
Rfam family: Bacterial small subunit ribosomal RNA
Source: RNAcentral
CAGAUUGAACGCUGGCGGCAUGCCUAACACAUGCAAGUCGAACGGGAGUAGCAAUACUCUAGUGGCGGACGGGUGAGGAAUACGUAGGAAUUUGCCCUUAAGUGGGGGAUAACCCGGGGAAACCCGGAUUAAUACCGC